Long non-coding RNA from Polistes dominula (European paper wasp), 1472 nucleotides. RefSeq lists it as uncharacterized. The record is from RefSeq and is a predicted model, not a curated record. Lineage: Eukaryota; Metazoa; Arthropoda; Insecta; Hymenoptera; Vespidae.
AUCCUGAGCGCACCUUUAAUCACCAGCCCGUCCGUUUGUCUAUCUGUCUUCUUUUUCUCUCCGAUGACUCGUCUAUUUGCUUUUUCAACAAAAGAAAGACACGAAGAAUCAAGCAAAGGUAAAAAAGAAAAAAAGAAUGCGAAUCUUGCGGUUCAUCUGCGGUGGAGACGCACACACAGAGACACACAUUCGCAGAUAUAUUCUACGAUUCCUUUGAUGCAUCAGCAAACUUCCCAACAACAACAUGUGUAAAACUACAGAUUAGUAUACAUACACCUAUAUGGAUUUUAUGAUUCCUAUAAAUCUAAAACUAAUAAUACUUAAGGAAGUUGAUACUUGAUAAUAUAAGCGUCACCGUAGACGCAAAAUGUUACAUGCUCGUUCGCAAGUCGGAGCUACGACUGGGAUGAUAAUGGAAACGACAGAUGAGACAGAAAGAAAGAAAGAAAAAGAUAGGGAGAAAGAGAGAAAGAGAAAGAGAAAGAGAGAGAGAGAGAGAGAGAGAGAGAGAGAGAUAACGUAAAAAGUUGCGGUCUUUCGCGAAGAGUCAUAGACGGUCGAGAAUCGUGCUCUUCUCCUAAGUCGUUGCAUGGUCGGGGCCACGGUGGCGGCUAUGGCUAUGGGUUAUGGUGGUGGUGACGAUGGUGGUGAUGGUGGUGAUGGUGGUGGUGGCGGCGGUUGCGGUGGCGGUGGCGGCGUCGUCCGUAAGGUCAAGGCCCUCUGCAAGCGCCCUACCCGACUCUUAUGCACCUUCGGGGUCACGUGACGCGGCUCAAGGUCUUCUCUCCCCACUCCUGCAAGCAUUGCACGGCCACGCCAUGCCACCCGCCGUUACCACCGACGGUGCAACAAGCGUGUCCCCCCUUCCUCUUGAUCCCCUCUUGCUUCCCAACCCUACCCUACCCUAUCCUACCCUACCCUACCGUAUUCUCUGCCCUACCCUUCCCACCCUUUUUCCUCUCUGUCUUCCUGGCCCAACUCUCUUGUCCCUCGUCGUCUCUUGAAUGCGCCUGCUGGCCGGGCCGGUCCGCAUCAUCUUCUCUUCUCUUCUCGGUCGUUCCAAGUCGCGUAACUUCUCUCCCGAGGAACUUCUAUGAACGUGGAUUCGGCUUUGAGCCGUUAGAGUACAAGUACCGUUUCGUUUCUCUUUAUAGAUAUAUAUAUGUAUGUAUGUACACAUUUAUAUCUAUAUACGCGUACGUAUAUACACUAUCUUACAAUAAUAUUUAAUUCCUUUCUUAGUUUGUUAAACUUUUUUUCCGUUCAUUACUUUUCUCACGAAGUUAUCUUCGUUUCAUUAACAUUUUUUUUUCAUUUUUUUUUUUUAAACGAAAUCGAGGUCGCGUUUUACGUAACAAAGUGUUUGUUAACGGUAUAAUAAAGUGUACUAUUAUCGAUUAGAUUCUUUAUAUCAAUCUUGAGAAAAUUUGUUCUUGUAGAUAAAUAGAUAUAUAUUCCAGGUGAAUCUAGAC